UGCCAUUGACCCCGUCCUGCUGUCAGUUCAUUUGUGGGCCACAUCCUGACUGACGGCAGGCCAUUCUUGCAUUAUAAAGGCUUGAAGUUUUUGUUUGUCCACCUGCCUCUCGAGGAUUGACCACUCAAUGGGAUUAAGGUCUGGGGAGUUUUCGGAAUACGGUCAUUCUCAAAACGAAUGGCCAUGGCUGUUCAACCUGAUGCAUUUAUCAUCUGUUAGUAGAAAUUGUCUAUGCAUUGUGUGUGUAUUCAUUAUUCAACGUAACAUUUCUUGUGGUGGUCGUUUGUUUCAGAUUAUGAAGCUAUUGUGAAGCUGUCAGACGGUUUCAACGGCGCUGAUCUGAGGAAUGUGUGCACAGAAGCAGGUUUGUUUGCUAUCCGCGCUGACAGAGAGUACGUCACUCAAGAGGACUUCAUGAAAGCCGUGCGGAAGGUGGCGGAUUCCAAGAAGCUUGAAUCCAAGCUGGACUACAAGCCUGUAUAAAUCAAAUGUCAUUGGCCUUUUCCCAUAUUUUCAUUGAUUUGCUGUGUUUGUUCUCCAGGUUACCAAUUUAGUGAUUUUUACUGAGUAACCCCUGUUUUCCCUUUAAUUAGUACAUAAGAAUUAGCUCAUAAAGGCUGAUCAUUCUCCCAUCUCACAGAACAUCUGUUAAAAGAAACUUGUACUAAAAAUACACUGUUAUAUGGAAAGUCCUUGUUUUUUAUUCUUUGAUCUCAUUGCCAUAAAGUGAGUGUGAUGGAUAUUCAGCAACCCACUGACUGCAUUUUGCAAAACCCAUUAAAGGUAAACAUUACACAACAUUGAAAGUAGUGUAAGUGGCUGCAACAACAAGAGCUGUUUGAAUUCUCUAAACGCUAAGGCAGGAGCUUCAAUGCUUCCCUACUUGGCUCCUUUAGCAGAGGAACCGCUGGACCAUCCUUUACAAAAGGAAAGGAGAUGAUUCCAUCGCAUAAUCCCUUGCGCCGGCAACAUUUAAAUAGUGAUCAUUUGGCGUUCACGAGGGGAAAAAAAAGGAUCAUGACUGAGAAACGCAGACUCAUUUAUUCUGCAUGACUCAGCACUGUAGCAGCUCAUGAACCGAUUUCGCCGCUGCACACUGAUGUCACGAACAUGCUUCUCCCGUUAGUUUGGUGAAAGCAGUCGGAUUACUAAUGACUAGGGGUGUAACCAUUCAUCCACUGAAUCAAUCGAUUUAUAUUCCUGCGAUCCAACUGAAUCGAUCUGUGCUCCGCAAAUCUGCAUUCCGAUUACAUAUCGAUUGAAAUGGUGCAUAAUUGAUUUCUAUCGAUACUUGGAAACUGCACAUUGGAUUUAAGCACAAAACCGGUAUGGAUGUGUUUGUUUGUUUUUUGGCAAUUUAGACA
Molecule: non-coding RNA, 1364 nt
Organism: Gasterosteus aculeatus aculeatus (three-spined stickleback)
Lineage: Eukaryota; Metazoa; Chordata; Actinopteri; Perciformes; Gasterosteidae
Source: RefSeq, a predicted model, not a curated record